RNAcentral lists this small nuclear RNA (326 nucleotides) under Neotoma lepida (desert woodrat). RNAcentral describes it as "7SK RNA". It matches the Rfam family "7SK RNA", at positions 1 to 251 of the family's 331-position model. Rfam says of the family: 7SK was discovered as an abundant small nuclear RNA in the mid-70s but a possible function has only recently been suggested. Two independent studies have found that 7SK RNA binds the CDK9/cyclin T complex (known as elongation factor P-TEFb). Lineage: Eukaryota; Metazoa; Chordata; Mammalia; Rodentia; Cricetidae. The record is from Rfam by way of RNAcentral.
GGGGAUGAAGGGAAUCUCUCUGGUACAUCUGUCACUCCAUUGAUUGCCAGGAUUGAUUUGGUUGAUCUUGCAGAUUAGGCUGGUGUCAGCUUCCUCUCUCAUUACACAUAUAUGUUCUUCCCAAAGCUGCAUGUUUGGUGGAAGUAGAUGGCCUUCCCUGAGAGACAGACAUUUCUUCACCAACAGUGUAUGAGUAGCUGUCCUCCUGGCUAGAACUUCCAAAAUGGUUCUCAAGAAGCCCUUUUCCUCCUCUUCUCUCUCUGGGUUGCUUGGCUGCCUUUCUCUGAGGCUGGUCACUUGGUCAUGGGAAGCCCGUGUAUUUUUUU